Molecule: long non-coding RNA, 512 nt
Filed under: Solanum tuberosum (potato)
Lineage: Eukaryota; Viridiplantae; Streptophyta; Magnoliopsida; Solanales; Solanaceae
Description: long non-coding RNA (STUB_LNC010138)
Source: RNAcentral
AUAAGGGGAGUCUUUGACUACGAGGUCGCACUCGUCUAUUUUUUGUUAUGUAUUUUGCAUGUUGGUCCUGCUUUCACACAUUUCUAAUAUUUUUGCAGGAAAAUCAUCCCCGACUAUAGUCGGGGAUGGUGAUAAUAAUGUAUAGUUUUUGGGAAUCAUUAGGAGUAUACACAGUUUGAAGAGACAUCCAAAAAAGAAUACAACAAGUGGUUACCGUAGAAAUUUGGAAGCCACAUUCAACAGACAAUGCAAAGAUUGACAAUUAAGAGGAUGCAAAACAUAUUGGUACAAAAAGUCAAAAAACACUUCCUGACUAUUGAUUUCAGUGACACUAGACCUAAGGGGAAUUGCUCUGAGUUUGUCUGAAUCUUUAAAUUAUUUUUAUGUCAUAUCUGAACAAAUUAUGCGAACCUAAUUAUCAUCUCGAUGAAAUAUGUAGGAAACCCUUCUUAGGCUCGGUAUCCAUUUUUUUAAAUUUUAAAAAUAAAAAGUAAUAGUUCGUGCAUAUUUUC